GGUCACUGCUAUUGGGAUUCGACUAAGCCAUGCGAGUCGAGAGGGUUCGGCCCUCGGCUGACGGCUCAGUAACACGUGGAUAAUCUGCCCUAAGGUGGAGGAUAACCUCGGGAAACUGAGAAUAAUACUCCAUAGGUCUAAGAUACCGGAAUGUACUUAGGCUUAAAACUCCGGUGCCUUAGGAUGAGUCUGCGGACUAUCAGGUUGUAGUCAGGGUAAAGACCUGACUAGCCUACGACGGAUAUGGGUUGUGGGAGCAAUAACCCAGAGAUGAUAUCUUAGACACGAUAUCAGGCCCUACGGGGCGCAGCAGGCGCGAAAACUUCACACUGUACGAAAGUGCGAUGAGGGAAUCCCAAGUGUAUGCACGUAAGUGUAUACUGUUUCUUUGUUUAAAACGCAUAGAGAGUAAGGGCUGGGUAAGACGGGUGCCAGCCGCCGCGGUAAUACCUGCAGCUCAAGUGGUGAUCAUUAUUGUUGGGCCUAAAACGUCCGUAGCCGGUUUAGUAAAUGCCUGGGUAAAUCGUGUAGCUUAACUAUACGACUUCCGGGUAGACUGCUAAGCUUGAGAUCGGGAGAGGCUAGAGGUACUCCUGGGGUAGAGGUGAAAUUCUGUAAUCCUGGGGGGACCACCAGUGGCGAAGGCGUCUAGCUAGAACGGGUCUGACGGUGAGGGACGAAGCCCUGGGGCGCAAACCGGAUUAGAUACCCGGGUAGUCCAGGGUGUAAACGCUGCUUGCUUGAUGUUAGUCGGGCUCUGAGCCCGAUUAGUGUCGGAGAGAAGUUGUUAAGCAAGCUGCCUGGGAAGUACGGUCGCAAGGCUGAAACUUAA
RNAcentral lists this ribosomal RNA (832 nucleotides) under uncultured archaeon. RNAcentral describes it as "bacterial SSU rRNA". It matches the Rfam family "Archaeal small subunit ribosomal RNA", at positions 21 to 859 of the family's 1478-position model. The record is from RNAcentral.